Long non-coding RNA from Drosophila montana, 845 nucleotides. RefSeq lists it as uncharacterized. NCBI's taxonomy places the organism in Eukaryota, Metazoa, Arthropoda, Insecta, Diptera, Drosophilidae. The transcript is spliced from 3 exons. The record is from RefSeq and is a predicted model, not a curated record.
GCAAUUGGAAGAAGCAGACAGCGCAGACAGGCGGCCGGGCGAGACAAUGGGAGAAGUGAAAAAAUCUCGGCAACAAACAACACCCAAAGGACAGCUGUCGACUGCAGCGUCUCAGCCAGCGACGUCAUCAUCAACAGCAGCAGCAGCAGCAGCAGCGCUGGCAGCGGCAUUUUUGGCAGGCGUGUCCUCUGCAGGCAGCGAAAACAACGCGCGGUCAAUCGGUAAUUGGAUUAGAUCAGACGCAACCCCAUUUGGGCUGGCAGCUACUUACGUCUACGUUGACCCGCGGCAGCGCGCAGGCUAAUCAAGGCGCCGCUAGAUCCCGUUUGAUGCCCUAACAAAUGGGCAUUUCAACUUUUUCACCAAAUGUGUAACUUCUUCAAAAUCUUUGGAACAGCAGUCCGUAAUAUUAUAUAGCAACCUAUGUGAACUGAGCUCUCAGUGAAGGCAUCUUGAUGAAAUUUGGUACAGCUCAACGAAUGACCAUAUCAAUUGGGAACUACUUAGUUCCGAAAAGGGUAUUUAAAGUUCGGGCAGGCCGGUGAAAGGUCUUCUUGCAGCUUCCUGAUGCUGUUUUGCCAAAGAAAACAGCGGAAAUUAAUUAAGAAAACGCAUUGAGGUUGUCCGUCAAACCGAAGGAAGCCGCUGCCCGCGGGCUGCGUUGCCCUUUGCCCCGCUCGAAUGUCCCGUCCCCGUCCCGUAACGAAGCUUGAUUUUUAUUGCAUGAAUAGCCCCUGUGACCCUUUACAAUUGGGUUUAAUUGUGUUUGACUGACUGGACCCCGUUUCGAAGCGGGCACUCAAAAGGGCAGUUGCCAAACCUUGAACAGAAUCUUUUCACCAAUG